Oncorhynchus masou masou (cherry salmon) is the source of this 358-nucleotide long non-coding RNA. RefSeq lists it as uncharacterized. The record is from RefSeq and is a predicted model, not a curated record. The transcript has 3 exons. NCBI's taxonomy places the organism in Eukaryota, Metazoa, Chordata, Actinopteri, Salmoniformes, Salmonidae.
UGUCUCUAUUCUCAGCAUUUAGAUCAAUGUUCUACUCUGAGAUGCUGCUAUGUGGAUACGGUCCCUGGUCAAAAGCAGUGUAUUUUAUAGAGAACUGGGUUCCAUUUGGGUUGCAGCUGUAUUCAUAGUCAACCUAGUGACAGGAGUCUUCUCUGGUUGACCAUAUGACCUGACCAAGAACAACUCUGGGCCCUGAGUAAUAGGACACAGAUCCUCGUCAGUUGGAGAAGCAGGAGCAGCAACAGCCCACCUAUGUUGCCCUCAGCUACAUCAACAGGGGCGCAGCCAUGGGUAGACCCACCCACUAGGGAGCCAGACCCACCCACUAGGGAGCCAGACCCACCCAAUGGGGAGCCAG